RNAcentral lists this long non-coding RNA (16145 nucleotides) under Citrus x clementina. RNAcentral's name for it is "Citrus clementina (C. clementina) long non-coding RNA (CCLE_LNC006846)". Lineage: Eukaryota; Viridiplantae; Streptophyta; Magnoliopsida; Sapindales; Rutaceae. The record is from RNAcentral.
GUUUUGUUUAAAAGAAACGAGAGGAGAUGAGAGGAAUGAAAAGGAGAGAGGGGGAGAAAAAAAAAAAAAAAUCAGUCUCAAUUUUAUUAUUUAAUUGAGAUCUUAUUGUCUUACAUUAAAAUGUAAGAUACAUCUUAAACAAUGACAAAUAAAUCAACAAUAUCGCCCUCUUCACUCGGUUGCCCACUUAUUUUCUUUAAAUGUGCAAUUAAUUUCCAUCCAUUCGAUUUUCACUUGUCUAAUCUAAGGAACCAUGUUUACUAAAUGUAUUUUACAUUACUAUGUUAGAUAAUAAGAUCCUAUUUAAUUUGACAUUAAAUUUAUCUUAUCUCUUCUGAUUUUUUUUCCACUCGUCAUCUCUUCUCUCCUGGAUUUCCAUUUCUUUAUAUAAAAAUCAAACAUAUCACUAGAGGAAAAAAGUACGGAACACCAUUCAAAUAUUCAAUCAUAAACAAAGUCAAGUAAUCAACCAAUGUUAGCGUACUGUACUAAUUCUGGUCACGACGGGACUGGAUUGUAAUUAAGACGAGCACCAUGUGCAAAAAUGUCAUUUACUAACAAGGAGAGCCCUCACCCAGUCACCCUUACACACUCGUCAGCACAAAUUUCCACACAAGCCAUCUUUUUUUUUUUUUUGUUUUCCUUUUCCCUUUUAUAGCGGAUAUACCACAAUUUUUUCUGGUCAGGGAUUAUUUUUAUUUAUUUUUUGAAAUUAGAGAUUAAUUAAUUUGUUUGUUUGGCUUCAUUUUAAUUAUUAUAAUUGUAUUUUAAAAGGAGUCGAAACAGCCCCACAAAUAAACUCUGCAUAUAGACCACUUCAGAAUUGAAGAGAGAGAGAGAGAAAAAUCGAAAAGGCUUUGGCAUUUGGCAAUCUCAAAAUCCACCUCGCGAGGGCAGAGCAGAACAGAGCAGAGCAGAGCAUCACCCGCACCACCAAAAUAGCUCCCAUUAUUACUUGGCGUCUUCAAAAGCGUUACGUGUUAGAUGUAGUAGAGUGGCAGCAUAUGAACCAGAAUAUUAAUUGAUGUUAACGAAAUCGAAAUCGAAAUCGAAUGCUACUCUCAUUCUCACUCUCACUCUAACUCGUUUUCAAAAACUAUCCCUAUCUCUCUCUCCACGGUUCUUUGAAACACGAUAAGACAGAGUUAGAGAGUGCGUUGAGAUUCUUCACUUCAUCUGGGUUUUCUUGAUUUUUGUUUUUUUUUUCUCUGCUUUUGGGUUAAUAAAAAUGGCGUCAUCUUGUUCGUUCACAUCUCCGCUGUGCACGUGGCUGGUGGCGGCUUGCAUGUCCUUCACGUGCGGCAGCCGGGACCCACACCAACCGCCAUCCGUGCUACGUCGCUACACCAACAACAAGAGAGAAGGACUCUCAGCGGCAAGGAGGAGGAAACUUUCGGCGAAAUGUGGUGUUGGUGGUGAAGUUGUAAACGGCAGCUUGGUCUCGUCGUUUAGUGGAUCUAGUCACAGCAUUCAGAGCCUAAUGGCUUCUUGCUUGCCCUUUGAGCCUUGCAACGAAUAUUACAGCUCCGUUUCUUCGCUUGGUUUCUUUGGUGACAAUGGUUUCUCUUCGUUUUUUGGAUCCAAUAAUAGUACUGCCACUCUUAAUCGAAGGCAACGGCGACUCAGACUCAAUCGAGUCACCCGUUCUGGUAACCUUUCAAUCUCUUUCGUGCCCAUUAGCUGCUGUAUUUUGAAUUCUUUACCGUGGAAUCUGGGUAAUGGGUAUUUUUUUUUUGUUAUUAAAAUAUGUUUUUAAAAAAUAAAAAGUAAGUAUUUAUGGGGCUUAAUUGGUGCUUGAAGCUGGAUGACUGUAUUAAUUCAGCACCUUUUGUUUUAUUCUAUUUUAUUGUGUUGUGCUGUGGAGUGUGCUGUGGAGAGAAGGCGUGUAGAAUGAUUGGAAUGCGUGAGUCUAAGAUCUUUCAUGUUGAUGAGAUUUUCGUUUCAAAUUUAAUAGUUGUGAAGUUAUUUACAUCGAGUGACCGUCAUGUGUGUUUGAUGAUUUUAGCUAUUGAUGGCUUAAUUUAUGAUGUACAGGUAGUUGGGUCAAGAAAUGUAGCUCAAUUUAAUUAUGUGUAAUUCUUUUUUUGUCUUUGUGACACACUACGUGUUUAUCUAAAACUCUCAGAAUUCUGUGUUUUAGAAGCAUGUCGAUGUCAAUUCAAGUAAGGUGCGCAUGUGAAUUAAUUGAACUUUUAGCUUUAGCAAGUUUAUUGGUGAUUCUCUCUCUCAGAGGUGGCUGGGUUUUGUCUAGGCUAGUGAUGAAUGGUUUCAUAGUAGUUUUUAUCCUAAUUAGAACUAUUUUUUGGCCUUCCUUUUGUGUGACUAGUAUUUGUGUUUAGCAGCUUUAAAUAUGUUGCUUGUAAGGCACAGUCUACUCUUUUUUUUGGGAAACAUAUUCUUUAUAAUUAUUGCUGGUUUAUUAGACUAGUAUCAAUUCAAUUUUGCUUGUAUCAUUUUCAAACUCUCGAAAUUAUCGAGUUACGAAGAUGCAGAGUAAUUGACUAAUUGCAUAGAUGGAAACUGAUGCAAAAUGAUGUUGCCAUGGAAAUAAGUUUUAAGUUUAAACUUUUUUUUUUGGGUGGGUAACUAAUCAAACUUGCAUCCCAUUUUCCAUAAAUUUGUCCAAAAUUUAGGGGAAGCCAUGGCUGUAGCUGUGCAACCUGAUGAGGAAGUCACAACAAAAAAGAAACCUCAUAUGAAGCAAAGGCGAGUCGUUGUGACAGGGAUGGGUUUGGUGAGUCCGCUUGGUCAUGAACCAGAUGUCUUCUACAAUAAUUUGCUCGAGGGUGUGAGUGGUAUAAGUGAGAUAGAGACUUUCGACUGUACUAGUUUUCCUACGGUAACUCUUAUUCGAGAUCUCUAUAUCCUUUUUUGUUGCUGGCUUUGAGAAUUCUUUUGUGGUAAUUGUUUUUCCCCUCUUCUCCUUCCCCAGAAAAUUGCUGCAGAGAUAAAAUCUUUCUCUACAGAUGGAUGGGUUGCACCAAAACUUUCCAAGAGGAUGGAUAAGUUUAUGCUGUACCUGCUUACGGCUGGCAAGAAGGCCUUGGCAGAUGGUGGAAUUACAGAAGAUGUCAUGAAUGAGUUAGAUAAAUCUAAAUGUGGAGUUUUGAUUGGCUCCGGAUUGGGUGGCAUGAAGGUAACCUUGUUUUUUCAUUGGUUUUAGCACAAUAUUUUAAUAGAAUUGGCAUGAACAUAACUUCAACCCUGCUAAAUAAGAUUUGUUUUAUUAACUUAUUACUUUGGAUAAUUUUUAUUUUGAACAGGUUUUUUAUGAUGCAAUUGAGGCUUUAAGGAUCUCCUACAAGAAGAUGAAUCCUUUUUGCGUACCUUUUGCUACUACAAAUAUGGGUUCUGCUAUGCUUGCAAUGGAUCUGGUCAGCUUAAAUUUAUUAUUUCCGCAAUAUUAAGCAUUCAAGAUAAGUCCUGAUAGGUACUAGAGUUUGGGCCUGAACCUUUUAACUGCCAAUCUCAGGGAUGGAUGGGCCCAAACUAUUCAAUAUCUACUGCUUGUGCUACAAGUAACUUCUGUAUACUGAAUGCGGCAAACCAUAUUAUUAGAGGCGAAGCUGUAAGCUUAUUGUAUUCUUUGUUUAUUCUCUUUUCUAGCUAAGUUGUACGAGUUCCUUAUGUUAUCUUAAUAUCUAUUUUUUAUUCAUUUUAUUUCCCAAAUUUGAUUCUGUAGAUUGAUUGUAAUAUUUCUGAAAUUAUUAUCUGAUUGCAGAAUGUGAUGCUUUGCGGUGGCUCAGAUGCUGCUGUUAUACCCAUUGGUAUAUCUUAAUCCCUUUCCUUUGUUACAUUCACCUCAUCCUUUGUUAAAACGGCGUGGUAAAGAAAUUUGCUUGUUUGUACUUUUGACUCUUGGUGCAGGGUUGGGAGGUUUUGUGGCAUGCAGAGCACUUUCACAGAGGAACAACGAUCCUACCAAAGCUUCUCGCCCUUGGGAUAUUGUAAUGUUAAAAUAAUUCUUGUCUUUUUUUGCUUUCUUCUUUCGUUUUGCUAUCUUUCAGGCCUUUCAAAAGAUUAUUUGAAAAAUGAUUUUGUAUAAACCAAGAAAAGUGGACUUAUUUGAUCCCGAUGCAUCAUUUUGUAGUGAACUUACUGGAAAAUAGAUUGUAAUAGUUAAUUGGUUGAAGGUGGUUAAUCAAAUAUACAAAUCCAUAUUUGUGACUUUACUAGUAAUUCUACUUAUCUGCAUCAUAGUUGUUACUUAUUCAGAAAUGCGGUGUUUUUCCAUUAAACAGAAUCGUGAUGGAUUUGUCAUGGGCGAAGGAGCUGGUGUUCUGCUUUUAGAAGAAUUAGAGCAUGCUAAGGUAAACAGUUUACCUCAAACGGGUCAGAUCCCUUCUUAUACUUGGCAUAUGCGUUACAUUUCUUGUCUGUCCAUUCAGGAGCACAUCUGUAGUUAAGUCGUAGGUGACCAUUUUUCUUGGCUCAACUUUAUUGUCAUUUGUCUUGUCAAUGUAGCUGGUUGCAAUUACAUUAAACUCCUCCUUUGUAUUAGUAUAUCCUUACUCUUUACUAAUUAUCAGAUAGCUUUUCCUAACCUUUUCCUUAGCUGCUUCAACCUCUUAUCUUCUGAAGAAACCUUUAUUAUUAUUAUUAUUAUUAUUGGCCAUUUUCUUGCUUGCUAAAUUAUGAUGCAAAAUAACUUUAAUGCAUUAAUGACCUUUGCAGAAAAGGGGUGCAAAAAUCUAUGCAGAAUUUCGUGGUGGAAGCUUCACCUCUGAUGCUUAUCAUAUGACUGAACCACACCCUGAUGGUAAAAGUGCCAUGUCUUUAAGACUUAAUUUUUCUGUGCAAAUGAAAUCAUUGAAUGGCUUUGGAAAAUUCUAUUUUAUUUCAAGGAAUAGAUAACUACUAUUAUGUAAUCUCAUAUGUAUCGAGAGUAAAAUGUGACAGUCUUAUGCUAGAGAACUCCCAAUAAAUACACACACCUCACUUAAUGCCCGAGUUCUAUGCUUGUGGUCACACUGCCAUUAUAUUGUGCUAGGUCAGAACUUCGAUCCUCAGCUGGAUUUACCUUUUCAAUCUGAACUUUCUUGGAAUCUGAUAGCUUCAUGUUUGCUGAUUAUAUGAUACUUGCCUUCCUGGUUAUUGCUUCCGUGAGACUAUGUUUUUCAUUUCUGGAUGCCAUUUUGGAAAAGAAUAAAUGUUGCUCUUGUCAUAACCUAGUAUAGUGAAUACAAAUAUCAGUAGGGGUUUCCCAGUACCAAAUGCGGCAUUUUCUUUUCUUGUACUAAUUAGACAGAUAAAUUACAAAAAGAGUUGGAAUUUUCAAUUCCUUACACAUUCAUUUUAUUUUUAUAAUUGGUUAUUUCUUCUUGAUUGACUUCUCUUAUUAUCCAUUUAUUCUAAUAUUUUAAGGACAUUUUUAGAUAAAUACCUUUGUUGAAUGCUUAUUUAAUGUGCCCUGCAUCAAUUCUUAGUGUUUUGUGUUUCUCUUACUACAUUUCAAGUCAUUAUCCAAAAACUGGAGAGUGCAUUUUGCCCAAGCAUAUAACUGUGUCAGUUAUUUGGAUAGUUGUUAUUACAUUUAACCUAUCUUAUGCUAAUACUUUGAGCUGCAAUGUACCCUGGCAACUGCUGCUGUUCCUACUUCCAACUCUUCCUAAUCUGUUAAAUUCACUCAUUUGUGCACUUUCAUCUGAUUGCUGCUCUUCCUAAUCUGUUAAAAUCCACCAUUUUGUACACUUUUUUUCAGCUUACAAUUCUAUUAGGGUUGCUUUGUCAGUGUUAGUUUAUGAUCCUUAAAUAAUUUCUGAAGUGUAAAGAAAAUAUGAACUUAAUUCAUGACCGAUUAGAUAACUAAUAGAUGAAAAUUUUUGUAGUUCAAUCUAGAACUUCUUGUUUAUGGUGUCCUGCUUCACAAGUAUUUUUUUAGGCUCUGUGUGAUUGUCCUGAGUUAUUAUUAGGUGAUAUCAUGCUUGGUGGAGUUCAGGACUAUCAUUGCUUUUCUUAGCUGGGUGAAAUUUCUGACAACGCCGUAAAUGUGCCAACCUAAUGCGAGCAGGAUCUCAAGCUCAGCUCAAUGAUUUGAAUCAUUGUUGAGCUGAAUUCAAGCUUGGGCAGAGUUUAAUGUGAUCAGAUUGAGUUUGGCUCACAAGCCACAGCUAAUUUUCAGAUUACCGGCCCAUACCCUUUAAUAUCUAGUGAUGAUAUACCUUAAUAUUAUCUAGUAAUAUAAGUAAUAUACACAUGUUGAGCCUACUGUGAGGUGAGUGGAAGAUGUCUGCGAUUGGCUCAAAAGUACAAACUUUAAUAUUAUCUUUGUUCUUGGCCUAAAAAUAAGCAAGCGCAAGCGACCAAUAGACAAACCAAUGAUGAGCUGAAGUAGCCAAGAUAGUUUUACAGUCCCGGUUUUUGAGAGAGAUGAAUAGGUGCAGGAAGAAACUUAGAGUCUAGUUAGGAAAGAUUAGAAAUUAGCUAUAGCGGACCAUCAAUUCACUUUGGAUUUUGCUUUUCUAAUAUCCUGCAUCUCUUAUCACUAAAUCGCAUACAAUUUGGAAAAAAAACUACUAGCUCCUGGUAUCCAUGCUUUCAUUGGUUUCAAGCUGAUUAUGUCAAGUAAUUCAUAUAUUUAAUAAUACAUUGAUGGUAAAAGUUGUUAGAAUUGAUUCUUAUUCCCUCGUUAUUACUUAUGAUGAUUAUUCUUUUGGCCUACCAAGAGAGUUAAUUGGUUGCUUCUCAUUUUUUGGGAAUUAUCCACAGCAAUUAAUGAUAGCCAAAUCUGGAAACUAUUACAUUUUUGGCUCACAUCUUUUCAGAAACUUGGUUCUCUGUUCUCAUGUGAAAGCCUAAACUGAACUGCUAUCCUUUCUGUCCCAUCAAAAAAUCAGGGGUUGGUGUAAUUCUCUGCAUAGAGAAGGCAUUAGCACAUUCUGGGGUCUCCAGGGAAGAUGUAAAUUAUAUAAAUGCACAUGCAACAUCCACACCAGCUGGAGACAUUAAAGAAUAUCAAGCUCUUAUUCAUUGUUUUGGCCAGAAUCGUGGGGUAAUUAGACGCUUAUAAUAAUUAUUUCUUUGUGAGCUGUCUGUCUGUAAUAUUAUUUCCUUGUGAUGUUGACAAGAUCUCCAAUAUGCACAGUUAAGGGUAAACUCAACAAAAUCUAUGAUUGGUCACUUACUGGGAGCAGCUGGAGCUGUAGAAGCCAUUGCAGUUGUGCAGGUAACACCAUUUUAUCAUUUAACUUAUGCUUGCUUACAAAUUUAAAAUUAAAAUGAAAAUUAGGAUUAUAUGUAUUGUUUUGUACCUUUGCUUCGUUUUUAAAAUGAAUUUUUUGAUUGACUUCUUUAUAUAAUUAUUCCUCAGCUAGUUGUGAUUCUUUGGUUUCAUUUUUCCUUUUAUUUGUUAUUGACAUGGUUAUUGCAUUUCGCUGAUAGGCAAUAAGGACUGGGUGGAUUCAUCCAAAUAUCAACCUGGAAAACCCAGAUGCAGUAGUGGUAUGUUGGCCCUUUGUGGGCUUUUUUUUUUUUGGUUUAAACAUCUAAGUUGACAAUGAAGAUUAAUGAUAUUAUUAUUGUUCUCAGCCUUGGUAAAUGAUUGUUUUUCCUAUCUUAUCAUUAUCGGUGUGAGAUUACCUGAUGGUUCCAGGCCAUUGAUUCAGGACACGAAUGUGCUUGUGGGCCCAAAGAAAGAGAGACUAGAGGUUAAGGCAGCAUUGUCUAACUCAUUUGGAUUUGGCGGCCACAAUUCAUCAAUUAUUUUUUCUCCAUACAAGUAAAUUAGUUGUGGUGUUACCACUCCUAACUGUUGCUGUAUGAUGCUUAAGGUAUGUCUGUGAUUUGUUUCGUCUCUUUUAAAAUUAGGUAUUUGGUAAUGAGAAACCACAUAUAAUGCAAUCUGCGAUCGUUAGACCUAUACCUUCUUUGAUUCUGAUGUUCCACAUGAGGAAAUGUAAGAGCAAAAAUUGCUUGUAGUGUGGGACUUCUAUUAAGUAAUCUUGGAGAUUUAAGUAGAAUGAUAUCAUGUAAACAAUAUUGAAUGAGCAUUGACAAGCACUAUACAUCUUGCAGAGUACUAAGACGAAUUUCAUGAUAUAUGAUGUCCAGUCGAAUGCGACAUGCUAUGCUUCUUUGGUUGGACAGUAGAUCACAUAAGACUGAUGAACAGCUGUAGACUUUGGAAAGAUGGCACUAGAAAAGUUCGUCAAGUGAUCAUUGUGAAAUUACUCUUGCUGAUACUGUUAUUAGAGUUUCUAUUUAUCUAAAAUAGUCACAGCAGGGCUUGGCGUUUCUUGACAUGAGCCAUUAUGCAUGCAGCACUGGCCUUGUUGGUUUCUUGUUUCUAUGUGAAAGUAGCUAGCUGAUCGGAUUGUUCUGACAGUUAAUUGUAAUGAAUUUUUUAAGCAAGCAAUUUACCUAGGCUAGCUUAUGUAACAGCAAACAAGCCAAAAAAGUGAUUGCAUGCGAGUUUUUCUGGCUCUCAUUUUUUAAUGUACACUGAAUAAUAUCGAUUUUGGACGAGGAAAAUGUGCAACUCAAGCCUUCAAAUGGAAAUGAUCCGUGCUUGGAAUGAAAUGAGGUGUUGUUAGUAGUAUGCGACUUAUUAAGCGCGUGCCUAGGUUUGCUUCCAGAGUAUGUUGCAUUAGUUAAAAGUUUUUCUUGUUAGUAACAAGUUUUAUUGUAAAAUUUGUUUAUAGUAAUAUUUUAUAUAUGAAUAAUUUUUAUUUAAUCAUAGAAAAUUAUGAUCUCAAUUUGAGUUAGUUAUAAAUAAUAAUAAUAAUAAACUUCACAUCAUAAUAAGUUACAAUUUUUAUAGAUUUACAAUUUUUUUGAACAUAAUAAUAAUUAUUUGAAAAAUAAAUGUUAUGUUACAUUAAAAGUUAAAGAUAGAAUAAAUUAUUUUUUAAAAUUACUCUGACAAUGAUUUCUUCUUUAAAGUUGUUACUAAAUCAUUGUAUAAUAUUUAUAUAAAUUGCAUUGAGAGAAAAAUGUUAAACAUAAUGCCUUUAAGAAGGCUUUGUAUUUUUCCAAUCACAUAAGAUUAAUGUAGUACCUAUUUUAUUUCUAUACCACUUGAACUAAGAAUAAUUAUGUCAAACUAAUAAUUUUUGUAAUCACACCUUUAUUAACUUAUAACCUUUUUAUAAUAAUAAAAAUGGGUUAUUAUCAUUUCACUACUUCAAAAAUUGACAAAUAUCAAAUGACUAUAAGAAGUAUUAUCUUCUAUUAUUUUCUUAUUAUAUCUUUACAAAAAAAUAUUAUUUUACUACUUUUCCGUUACAACCAUUAGUUGAUCAGUUAGUUGACUAAUAAAAUACCAAUUUUACCCUUCAUGAUUAGAAUGCUAAAAUGAAUUAGAAAAGUAGACGGUUCUAUAAUUGGGCAAGAAGAUAACCAAGCAGGGCAUGAGCCCAAAAUCACUACUUUCAAUAAACACUCAUCUUUGGACUGGAAUUGCAACAAGUCAAAGAGUGGACAUCGCUUCCUCCCGACCUGCUGCCUACCAAUAUCCAGCGAACACACACAACCUCUCUUACUUCUUCACUUGCUCCACCUGUAUCAUAUAAACCUCAACCCUCCACAACCUGGCCCCACCUUUUUGUUCUUUUCAUUGAUCAUAAUGCUCAGAAUUGAUAAGGACAAGAAUAUAGAUGAAUUUGACAAUCUAAGACCAUGCAUUAGCAUGAUUCAAAAGCCGCAAUGAGUGGGCAAGCCAAGGCAGCGAGGGGUCACAGUCCGGAUGACAAUGGAAUUGGCAAUGUCAUCAUGCUUGGAUCAUUGAUUGUGGAAAUUUGUAUAUUCAUUGGUGGUUUUGGCUUCUUUGGUGGAAGCAAAUUGAGAGGCCAAGGUGCAAGUACACAGCAUCAAAUAGAGGGCUUGAUUACAUAUUGAGAAGUAUAGAAAUGAAUGCGUACAACAUCAUGUCCAGGAUGAGUAAUGCUAUCUAAACAAAACAAAAGGUAACAAACGAAUUAACAGUAUGCAAUUACGAAGCUUUUCGCAAUUAAAGAAUUACCCUGACAAUAAUUGAAAUAACUCUGAAUGCUUUUCAACCAUUGCACAACAGUAUUGCUUUUCAUCAUCCACAAAGUGGUUUUUAGCAAUUAACUAACCUUUUCUCUGGACAAAUUAUCGGAAUUGAAUCCUUAAGCCGAAGUUAAGGAACCGCGUCUGAGGCUAGAAUUUUUAUUAUUGAGACUACCUCACUACCAUGCUCCAGAUUAUAGAAUUUCUUUAUAAUAGAACAUGGAAAAUUACCCCAUUCAAAACUAGGCAGGGCGUAGUAAAUCUUCCAGGGAAAAAAAUAUGGAAACUCAGACAAUCCUUGGCCAAUUAUGCAAGAAUAAAAUCACACAUUAGAAACUACAUAUGCAUAAUGCAAGUACGAUUGAUGUUUUAAGGCCUGAAAACAAACGUCAAACACCCAUAGAAGCAAUCUAGAUAACGAACAUUCUGAUGGUACUACAAUGACAGAAUGAAUAUAGUUGAAACAAUUCGAAACGCCAUAUCCCAAACUGCACUGUAGUAAUAAUCAAGUACGCUUUCAACAGUCGCACAGGUUUUCUCAAUUACAGUUGGGCCAGACUUUCUAGCAUAGAGUUUACAUUCGUAAUCUGAUCUGCUCCUUGUAUUAUCCAGGAAGAAAGAAGAAGAACGUUUGCUAACUAUUAUACAGCAGACACUGAUUUUCGUAACUUGCUUUAACAACAUACUUGUCUAAUCAAUAAAUCAUACAUACAUCUUUUUGUUUUUUUUUUUUUGAUGAGAUACAUACAUCUUUCUUGAAAAAGACCCAAAAAUAAACAAAAAAUGAACACACACAGAUGAAAGAGCAAUACAAUAAUAUUUAAUAUUAUCUUCAUACGGCAAGAGCAAAAUCAGAACCGUCCCAUCUUCAUCAAGGCAUCAAUCGGGGCCUUUCACGACUCUCAUCAAGACGAGUAAGCAUGUACAAAGCAUUACUAGUAACCCUAGCCACGUUGCCGAUCUUGCGCUUCACAUCACUCUUGACCUUGCUAUCAACAUCCUCAAACCCGUCAAGACACGUGUCCUCGUCGGUCAAAGCCGAGCUGACCCACGUCUCCGCAUUACUCAUCUGCCAGCUAAAGGUGUCACCCUUCAAGUGCUUAAGCUCAUUCAGGGUCUUGCUCAGAUCCUCGACGGAGUCGGAAAUCUGCUCGACGCAGUCACUCAGCGCAAGUCGCUCUCGCUUGUUCGUGCUCUUCCCUUUGUUGACGUCGGACGAGACUUGCGACAGGUAAGCGGACACUUUGCUCGCACGAGAAAGGCUGACAUUCACAGCCGCUUGGGCUAAAUCGCGUGGGGUCUCCGCUGCGCCCUUGAAGGACGAUAGCGUGCGGAGGCACACGGCAGGGUAGCUGGCGUGUGCGCAUGAUGAACGGACCAGAUCAUGCGGCUCAUCGUGACCGUGCUUGCUUCCGGCGGCAGAGCAGGAGAGUAGCAGAAAGAGUGUGAUCAGUGAGCAAAGCCGAAGCAUUGUGUUUGUGGAAAUAUGAAAAUGCCUCGGCAAAUGAGAGAGAGAUCCGAAAAUAAGCAGCCUAGGAGUGUCACUAGUAAUAGACUAGAUCACCAAUAAAGUGUUGGCUCCACUGGAAAUGGAGUCCCUUUAAAUGGUUUGACUGGAUUUGUUCCUUAGUUCGAAUCGCAGGGAAGUCGCUUUUGUUGGGAGAACUUGUGCCUCUCGGUUUGAGCUGGGACUUCUAAUCUAAAUUAUAGUACAGAUUUAAAUAUACCUCCUACAGUUGGGGUCCUUCCCAAAAUACCUUGUGAUUAAUAUAAAAAAAAAAUAAUAAUAAUAGACUAGAUCAGCUGUUUUGAUACAAGUGGGCGUGUCCGAUAUUUUUCCAGAAAUUUAAAUCAAGUUAAGAGAUAGAAGGUGACGAAAGUAGGAGCAGUAAAUGCACCGCAGAUUAUAGGAGAGUGGCUGGUGGGCUUAGUUAAUUGUGCCUGCGAGCCUGUCCACUCAAUCAAUGCCAUUGUUUUGCACUGCUCCCGUAUUUUUUUCAAAAAUAUAAUUAAGAGUAAGAGUGUGUUCUUUCAAAAUUUCUUAAUGAGUAAGAACGUUUUUGUUCUACGGAGUGUUUUUAACUUUUAAAAACACGUUCUUGGGGAUUAGACAUAAGACACCGUUUAUCACUUCAUUUUUAAGCUAGGGAAUUACGGAGAGUUGUCUGAUGGCAGGCGAAUCUGAUUGGUCUUUGGAUCUGCAAAAGAUUUGUGAGUGUGAGAAACAAAUCUAUAUGUGCUGGCCCUGUAGUAAAUAAAUUAUUGAAUGAAUAUGAACAAAGCCAUUUGUCUACACUAAAGCAUUGGGGUUUGAUGCCCCAAUGCCAUCAAACAGGGCAUGUGCUAUAAACAGUCUUGCAGGCGGCUACCACAGCCCACACCCUGAAACAUGAAAUUAACAGCUGGGGCCUGGGAUUGGGGUGCUGGAUUUACACCGGCCAAUUUCGCUGUGCCGCAAUUAUAACGACCGAUAAUGCUAAUGUGCUACACAAGGACGGCCAAAUAAUCGGAUAUAGCCCAAAACUUCGUUCCGCCGAAUAGAGAGAGUUUCAAUUUACAUGGACCAAACACCAAACAAAUAUGAUGUGAACUCUAAUCGAUUUGAGGAUAAUAAGCUUAGUGUGAUUGAAGAAAUAACUGCAUUCUACUUAAUAAUGGCUGACUUAGACACUUAAAUUAGGUGAGGUCUAAUUCGAAAAAUUUUAAAUUUAAUUUGGGAUGCUUAAUUUUUUUUUACUAUUUACUUAAAGUACAUCUAAAGUGUCAAAAUUCAAAUUCUGUUGGUUUUCUUUAAAUUUAAAAAAAAAAAGUAGUAAUAAAUUAUUUAUUUUAAAUAUCGAAGCUAAUUGUGGCCACAUUUGUAAAAAUAUCCUUGAUUGUUAGGAUUUGAACUAAGUCUCCAAAACCACUAAAUAGUAUUAUUACCACUAAACUAUAAGUGUUUUCUUAUAUAAAAAUAUGUCUAAAUUCAUUUUAUUUAACUCUUUCUUACCUUAACUAGGUUCGGAAUACUCAGUGAAACAUCUAAUAAUGAAAUCAUAAUUUUGGUUUGAUGAGGCCAAAAGAACAUAUUACAAACCUAUAAUCUAAAGGGGCAAAUAAAUAAUAUCUUAUAAAAUAGCUAAAUUCUAAUGAAAUCCUUACUUUCUUAUAAAUUUUAUUCUACUUGUGCAAUGUCUCUUACACUAUACCAAGAUAUCAACAAUCAGAAAUCACAUAAUAACACUACAAAGAUAAUCCGGAAGUUCACAAAAUAGGCAUAUGUAUGACAAAAGAUCCUUACUAAAAUGAAUUCUUUGGUACACAACUCACAAUUUUUAUUAGAUUCACAUUAAAACGUUACACUUUCAAUAGAAAUUUUGGAUACGCACAACACAUACAUAAUUUUGAAUAAAAUUUUGUGAGCUAAUCUAAUCAUGCCACAUAACAAGCUUCGUUGACUUUACGUAUCAAGAGUUGCCCAUAAACAUCAAAUGUCAAUUGCUGUUUUUUAAGCAUCAAGAACUUGUUUAUUAGCGUGUAGAAUGUGCGAACAGUUGAUGCUUUACUAAUCAAUGACAUUAGUCUUUAUCGGUGUGAAAAAAAAAAAAAUGGGCCUAGUCUUGAAAAUCUAGCAUUAUCUUCCAUAAAACAACAAUUUUUUUUUUUUUUUUUUUUUUUGCAAAGACCACCAAGACGGUGGGGACUUAGGUGAGACCCUUACCUAUAAUAUAGAUCAUCAAAUAAUAAAGAAAUAUGGAGGGCAUAUAAACCAAAACCUCCAAGUCUAAGAAAAAUACAAGAACACAUAUCAAUACACUAAAAAAUAAAAAACAACAGCAAAACAAGAGAUAAGACCAUAACAAUAUAUAUUAUAUAUCCACUACUGUCUCAUGUAUUCAUCAUCCACAUCUCAACUUUUAUAAAUUUGAUUUUUUAUUUUUCUUCCUUUGCUUUUUUUUUUUUUUGUUCAUAUUGUUGUGCUGGUGUAAAAAAUUGUUAUGUAUUUUCCUUUUAUAAUGUUUAUUAUGUUUAAAUUUUGUUUUGAAUGAAUAAUUUAAAACUAUUCUUUGGUUUUGAUUUUUUGUUGUUUUUUAUCUACUAUAAAAAAUAUAAUGAAAAGAAUAUAAUUCAAUAAAUGAUCCUUCAUGGAGGUAUCUUCACCACUUUUGUUGACUGGGUUUGCUCCCCAGUUCGAGUCGCAGGGAAGUCGCUUUUGUUGGAAGAACCUGUGCCUCCCGGUUCGAGCGGGGACUGCUAGUCUGGGUUGUGGUACGGGCUUAAAGGUGCCUCCCACAGUUGGGGCUCUUCACAGGAUACCUCGUGAUUAUAAAAAAAAAUAUUAUUUUUAUGCUAACCUAUAUUUAGCUGCAAUUUCUAGUUGGGUGCAUUGUAUUAAAAAGGUGGCUAAUGUAAUUAAAGAUGUAUAAAAUAAACUCAUAAUGACUACAAGCCAAGAGAGGAUAGGGUUUAGACUUUAUUGUAUUAAUAUAGUGGAAUGCACUAUAUCAUACUAAAUGCAGCCUUAACUUAUUAGCUAGGACAACUUAAAUAUGCAGCCUUAACUUAUUAGCUAGGACAACUUAAAUAUGCAGCCUUAACUUAUUAGCUAGGACAACUUAAAUACCAAAUGAAUGAAAAUGUAAAGCAUUGCCAUUGGUGGUGGCACAAAAUGACAGAAGUGCUCGUGGUUGGAGGGUUAACGGCACAGGCAUAUCGUCACAAUUAGGUGGCUCGCACCCACAGGCCGCAACGGAGACCCCCCAAAACUCGACUUUUGUUGGGUUGCUUGGCUGGGAGCGGAGAAGCUCCCGUGCAAUUUUGGCUGCAAAUAUUGAAAGGUAUUUGCCGCCUCCACGUGAAGCUGAGUUGCCAUCACCGUAUUAGAUUCAGAAUUGUGAACUGUGAAGUGCGAUGUGGGGCUCCAUCGCAGCAAUCCUUGAGGCCCCCAUUCUUUAAUUUUCAUGGGCCGUACUUCAUCUAACUGUGCAAAUUUCCUGGUGGUGGGACCAUCAUUUUGACGUAUCCCAGAUUUGUUACACUCUUAAGGAAGUGACCCGACUCUCUUUCUCUGUGUCGCCGGAAAUAGGAUGGCCCCGCAUAUUUGCCCACCUUUUUCUUUAUCUUUUUCAGUUUCAGUUUCUGUUUCCUAAAAAACAUGGCCUGAUGCCCUGAUAAUUGUGUCGCCGCAAUUUACAUUUAAAACCACACAGUUGUUUUUUUUAGUGUACAAUAAUAUUAUUACGGCUUUAGUUAUUUUACUUAAUAAUAUAGGGUCCGGCUGGAUACAAUCGUGUCACAGUUAUAUUCAGCCGUUGAAUGUAUUUAAAUAGAUGGGGUCUACUAAUAUCCAAUAGCUGAUCCACAAUCAUUUGAUGAAAAUUUAACGAUUGUAAAAAUAAUAUAUUUUUCUUAUCUUAUAUUUUUACAACCGAUUUUCAUCAUACGGUUAUACAAAAAUUAUAUACUUACAUAAUAAUGCAAGAUAACAAACUCCUUUUAUUACUUAUUACAACGACUCUUACUUGCACAUAUAAACUGACGGAGACUGAUACAUUCAUGGAGGCAUACACAUUAGUGGUUGUAGUAGUUUUCUACACUUCUAUUUCCAUUUUAGCGUGGGGCUCUCUAAUAUCUCUAUUCACAUCCAGGCCCCCACUUUUUUUGCCUCAUUAACCCCCUAUUAUAUUUAUGGGUCAGGCUACAGUGUAACUGUGGUACCGUGCCACAGUUGCACCAGCCGUUGGAUCUACUCAAAUGAGUGGGAUCCACUUGAAUAAGUGGGAAUCCAACGGUUGGGUGCAACUGUGGCACGGUACCACAGUUGCACCACAGAUUUAUCCUAUAUUUAUUAUUUGUUUUCAACUUAAAAUACUAAAAAUGGCAUAAAAGAACUUUUAAUUUCCCUACGGAUUUCAACAUUAAUGAUAAUAACUUCUCUCUCUUUUAAAACCACACGGUUGUUUAGCAGAUAAUAUUGAACCAUCAAAUAGUGACAGAGAAAUUGAUUUUUUUCGUUUUAUUUUUUUAUUGUCGCUAUUGUUAUUCAAUUUAUAUAACAAUUAGUAAAUUAUAAAUGGUUAGUGGGAUACAAUACAAGAGAUGGAUUUGAUUUAUUGGACUCUAAUUAUAGGAGUUCUUUUUCUUACUUCAGACUUCAUAUCUGAUUUUGAUAUCUCAUAUAGUUUGGUUUAGAU